Molecule: non-coding RNA, 920 nt
Organism: Benincasa hispida (wax gourd)
Lineage: Eukaryota; Viridiplantae; Streptophyta; Magnoliopsida; Cucurbitales; Cucurbitaceae
Source: RefSeq, a predicted model, not a curated record
GAAAAUCUAUCUCCUUGGAGAAUUGUAUUGGAAUGAGGAAUGAAAUGAGUAGAUGGAAAAUGGCAUCCCAAAAUCACCCCAUCACCGUAGACAUCUCUAGUCACAUCCCUAAACUCUAAGGUACGCUUUUUUUCCCUUUUGAUUUUUCUUCAUCGCCUCACUAUUCUUUCAACAAUACUCUGAUCUCUAUUUUCCCCUUGAUUUUGCGAAUGUUCAAUCUAAUUUUGAUGCAUGUUUGUGCUGGUGAGUUGAUUUUGCGAAUGUUCGACCUAAUUUUGAUGCAUCUUUCCCAUUGAUUUUGCGAAUGUUUCUCAGUCACGCUCGCCAAACCGCCCACCUUCCUCUUUUCCCAAUACCCAAUUGGUAUAGACCCUUACAUGUCGUGCUAUAGAGACUUUUUUAAUUUUCUUUUAUUUGUUUAUUUGUAGAUCUUUUUUUCCCUCAGCUUAGUUUUUAAUGAAAAUUCUGCGAUCAAUUAGGAGCGUUGAUUUUAGUUCUCAAUCUAUGAUUUCUAUAGCCAAUCCGACUGCAUUAGUUAUCAGGAAAUUGAAUCAGAUUGGAUUGCGUAACUGAAGUUUGAAGCUUUGUUGCUAAGCUUGUAAUGAAGAAAAUGCACGUGUUUUUUGUAGGGAAAACCUCUCGUUGGUAUGAUGAGAUUCAGUUGUGCGAUUAUUUUAAUUUAGUUAUGCGAUUAUUUUAGUUUUGAUUUUCUUUUUGUUGGAUGUAUCUAUGACCCUUCAAAGUAGACAAUCAACUCUCUUGAUCUUUAGACUUUAGAGCUUUAUGUAUAUAUUGGUCAAUAUAACUUAUUGAUAGGUUAGUUAAACAAUUUGUCACUUUCUUUGUUGUGAAUUAGUUAAUUUUUGUGUUUGUUUAAAGUUGAGUUGUAUAUAUAAUAGCAAUUAAGAUUUUAUUUUGUG